UUGGUGCCUUAGUGGCGGACGGGUGAGUAACACGUGGGAAUCUACCCAGCAGUGUGGGAUAACUACUGGAAACGGUGGCUAAUACCGCAUACGCCCUUCGGGGGAAAGUUUUUUCGCUGUUGGAUGAGCCCGCGUCCGAUUAGCUAGUUGGUAGGGUAAAGGCCUACCAAGCCGACGAUCAGUAGCUGGUCUGAGAGGAUGAUCAGCCACACUGGGACUGAGAUACGGCCCAGACUCC
RNAcentral lists this ribosomal RNA (238 nucleotides) under uncultured bacterium. RNAcentral describes it as "partial 16S ribosomal RNA". It matches the Rfam family "Bacterial small subunit ribosomal RNA", at positions 84 to 339 of the family's 1533-position model. The record is from RNAcentral.